CCAGCCUGCCGCGUGUGUGAAGAAGGUCUUCGGAUUGUAAAGCACUUUAAGUUGGGAGGAAGGGCAGUAACCUAAUACUUUGCUAGUUUUGACGUUACCGACAGAAUAAGCACCGGCUAACUCUGUGCCAGCAGCCGCGGUAAUAU
Molecule: ribosomal RNA, 146 nt
Filed under: uncultured bacterium
Lineage: Bacteria
Description: partial 16S ribosomal RNA
Rfam family: Bacterial small subunit ribosomal RNA
Source: RNAcentral